This 253-nucleotide ribosomal RNA is filed under the name uncultured bacterium. Its description in RNAcentral is "partial 16S ribosomal RNA". It matches the Rfam family "Bacterial small subunit ribosomal RNA", at positions 524 to 776 of the family's 1533-position model. The record is from RNAcentral.
GACGUAGGGCGCGAGCGUUGUCCGGAUUUAUUGGGCGUAAAGAGCUCGUAGGCGGCUUGUCGCGUCGACUGUGAAAUCCCGCGGCUCAACCGCGGGUCUGCAGUCGAUACGGGCAGGCUAGAGUUCGGUAGGGGAGACUGGAAUUCCUGGUGUAGCGGUGAAAUGCGCAGAUAUCAGGAGGAACACCAAUAGCGAAGGCAGCUCGCUGGGACGGUACUGACGCUAAGGCGCGAAAGCGUGGGGAGCGAACAGG